CGCGGGCCAGCCCCCGGGCCGCCCCCCCCAAACUCUCCCCCCCCCUUGCCCCGGUCUCUCUUUUUAAGCUCUCCUGAGCCGGGGCUGCGCUUCUCUAAUUGGGAGUGUGAGCCGGGGCUAUUUCUGGAGCUGGCGCCACUCCAAGAGGGCAUCCGCAUUUGCAACAAGCGGCGGCGGCGGCGACGGCGGCGGGAGGAGCCCGAGCAGGGAAGCUUAGCGAGGUCAUUCGCUCGCAGUCCGCGUUGCUCCCCCGCAACCCGGAGCUACGCACCCAAGCCGGCCCGCCGAACGCCAUCCCCCUACCCUUUACCACCUCUCAUUAGAGAAGGGGGAGGAUGAGUGAAUCUAGUUCAAAGUCCAGCCAGCCUCUGGCCUCCAAACAGGAGAAAGACGGGUCUGAGAAGAGAGGGCGGGGCCGACCCCGGAAACAACCCCCGAAGGAGCCCAGUGAGGCACCAACUCCCAAGAGACCUCGGGGCAGACCGAAGGGGAGUAAGAACAAGGGGGCUGCUAAAGGCCGGAAAACUACCACUGCACCAGGGAGGAAACCAAGAGGGAGACCCAAAAAACUGGAGAAAGAGGAGGAAGAAGGGAUAUCCCAGGAGUCUUCAGAGGAGGAGCAGUAACCAAGUCUGCUUAUAUCUCGCUACCUCAUUCCCCUUGAUGACGAUGACGACCACGGCGGCGGCGGCCCUUUCGUUCUGGGACUAGACAGAAAAAUGUUGAUCUUUAAGCCCCCAUUUUUCUUCCCCCACUUCUCCUUUCCCUCGAUCUGUCCUUCCUGGUUUUACUGGUCAGAGAAAUAAUAGCUCUACCUGGGAAAAAUGCCUCCCCAUUCACACAUUGAACAUAUUCACACUAACCCUGGCCAUCCCAUACGGGAUUGUGCUGGGUAGGGUGGAGCAGACAGCAGCAGGUGGUUAAGCCUCCCUCCCCCCAUCUCCCACAUCCAUCCAUCCACCCAUCCACAGACCCACCCAUCCUUUCCAAGGAUUGGGAUUUUUUUUGUAUGCCUCCUUCCCUGGACAGAGCUAACCUUUUGACUUAGCUGCCAACACCUGUUUCUUUGUCUCUGCCCCUCUGGAAUGGGACCAGGGUUCCUGUUUUCCCAUCUCCCCACUCCCCCACUCCAACUCAAAAGGGUUUGAGAGGGAAGGACAGAUGUGUGAGUAUCUUGAUCAUAAGAACUCAGCUUCAGUUGACUUCUGUUUGGGGAUAUUCUGUAUCCCCGAAACCCCUCCUUUCUACCUUCUACUCAGUCAAGAUUGGUCCCGAGGGUGGAGAUGGGAGCAGGCUUUUUAGGGGGAGUGGG
This 1312-nucleotide long non-coding RNA is filed under the name Vombatus ursinus (common wombat). RNAcentral describes it as "lncRNA (ENSVURG00010016380.1)". Lineage: Eukaryota; Metazoa; Chordata; Mammalia; Diprotodontia; Vombatidae. The record is from RNAcentral.